UACGUAGGGGGCAAGCGUUGUCCGGAUUUAUUGGGCGUAAAGAGCGUGUAGGCGGCUUGGUAGGUCCGCUGUGAAAACUCGAGGCUCAACCUCGAGAUGUCGGCGGAAACCACUUGGCUAGAGUCCGGAAGAGGAGAGUGGAAUUCCCGGUGUAGCGGUGAAAUGCGCAGAUAUCGUGAGGAAGACCGGUGGCGAAGGCGGCCAUCUGGACGACUACUGACGCUGAGACGCGAAAGCGAGGGGAGCAAACAGG
RNAcentral lists this ribosomal RNA (253 nucleotides) under uncultured bacterium. RNAcentral describes it as "partial 16S ribosomal RNA". It matches the Rfam family "Bacterial small subunit ribosomal RNA", at positions 524 to 776 of the family's 1533-position model. The record is from RNAcentral.